This 266-nucleotide ribosomal RNA is filed under the name uncultured bacterium. RNAcentral describes it as "partial 16S ribosomal RNA". It matches the Rfam family "Bacterial small subunit ribosomal RNA", at positions 88 to 354 of the family's 1533-position model. The record is from RNAcentral.
AUGGCGACCGGCGCACGGGUGAGUAACACGUAUCCAACCUGCCGAUGACUCGGGGAUAGCCUUUCGAAAGAAAGAUUAAUACCCGAUGGCAUAGUUCUUCCGCAUGGUAGAACUAUUAAAGAAUUUCGGUCAUCGAUGGGGAUGCGUUCCAUUAGCUUGUUGGCGGGGUAACGGCCCACCAAGGCAUCGAUGGAGUAGGGGUUCUGAGAGGAAGGUCCCCCACAUUGGAACUGAGACACGGUCCAAACUCCUACGGAAGGCAGCAG